UACGUAGGGGGCAAGCGUUGUCCGGAAUUAUUGGGCGUAAAGGGUGCGUAGGCGGCCUUUUAAGUCAGAUGUGAAAGCCCGCGGCUUAACUGCGGGAUUGCAUUUGAAACUGGGAGGCUUGAGUAUCGGAGAGGGUAGUGGAAUUCCCAGUGUAGCGGUGAAAUGCGUAGAUAUUGGGAGGAACACCAGUGGCGAAGGCGACUGCCUGGACGAAAACUGACGCUGAGGCACGAAAGCUAGGGGAGCAAACAGGAUUAGAUACC
Molecule: ribosomal RNA, 263 nt
Filed under: uncultured bacterium
Lineage: Bacteria
Description: partial 16S ribosomal RNA
Rfam family: Bacterial small subunit ribosomal RNA
Source: RNAcentral